Molecule: long non-coding RNA, 491 nt
Organism: Oncorhynchus keta (chum salmon)
Lineage: Eukaryota; Metazoa; Chordata; Actinopteri; Salmoniformes; Salmonidae
Exons: 6
Source: RefSeq, a predicted model, not a curated record
UCAUACACAGGAGGAGGCAGGUAGCUGGGUCCAGGGGCAGGCAGAAGGUCAUACACAGGAAGAGGCAGGUAGCUGGAGGCAGGUAGCUGGGUCCAGGGGCAGGCAGAAGGUCAUACACAGGAAGAGGCAGGUAGCUGGGUCCAGGGGCAGGCAGAAGGUCAUACACAGGAAGAGGCAGGUAGCUGGGUCCAGGGGCAGGCAGAAGGUCAUACACAGGAAGAGGCAGGUAGCUGGGUCCAGGGGCAGGCAGAAGGUCAUACACAGGAAGAGGCAGGUAGCUGGGUCCAGGGGCAGGCAGAAGGUCAUACACAGGAGGAGGCAGGUAGCUGGGUCCAGGGGCAGGCAGAAGGUCAUACACAGGAGGAGGCAGGUAGCUGGGUCCAGGGGCAGGCAGAAGGUCAUACACAGGAGGAGGCAGGUAGCUGGGUCCAGGGGCAGGCAGAAGGUCAUACACAGGAGGAGGCAGGUAGCUGGGUCCAGGGGCAGGCAGA